UUUUCUUGGGAAUGCCGGGCUGCUUCUCCCACGAAAAGGGUACGCCGCCGCGGGGAUACCGGAGAGGAGUUGCGGGUGCGGAGGGGAUAUCUUCGUCGGAGGAGGAGGAGAAGAAGGAAGGCGAGCCAGUGCCGCCGGAGCGGGAUUUGGGCAAAACGGCGUCGUAGAAGGUGAUUUGCUUGGGAGACGACGUCGUAGAGGAGGAAGAAGACAUUGUGGGUUUUUGAGAAGGGAAGAGAGAAGGGAAGAAAGAUGAGAGCUUUGUUGUGGUUGGUUUCUUCUUCUUGUGGGGGAAGAAUAAUUUCUUGGUUUCU
Molecule: long non-coding RNA, 314 nt
Filed under: Linum usitatissimum (flax)
Lineage: Eukaryota; Viridiplantae; Streptophyta; Magnoliopsida; Malpighiales; Linaceae
Description: long non-coding RNA (LUSI_LNC001567)
Source: RNAcentral